Caenorhabditis remanei is the source of this 82-nucleotide non-coding RNA. The record is from Rfam. NCBI's taxonomy places the organism in Eukaryota, Metazoa, Nematoda, Chromadorea, Rhabditida, Rhabditidae.
AGUCGGAGCCCGUCUUUCCAAUAUUUUGAAACCAGUACUCAUGCAAAUGGUUACAAAGUAUUCGAAAAGGCGUGCUCUGAGA